UCAGAAGGAGGUAACUGGCUGAAAAGAUUGCUUCUGUUUUGUUUGGGAAGUCAUUUUGGAGUUGGUAGAAGGCAAAGAAGUCAAUGCUUAGUGAAUAAAUACAGUCUGGAGCAAUUGUUGAGAGGUGCAGUUCCAGCGCUGGAUUCAAAUCCGGCUUUGUAGCCAACAACAACUGAACCGAAUAAUCAGACGUCUUCGAGUCAACACUGAUCAAGUGAAUAUGACAGGUGUACUGGGCAAGACCCUCAUUUUUGGAAUGUUUCUCAAUGUUGUUUCUAUGACGUGGGGAAAAUGUGAUAUAGUUGACCCAUGUGAUUCAGCAAUAUACAUGGAAAACCCGUUUCGUAGUGCCGACUUCGAUGAAUAUAUAUGUGAUGCUGGGUUUGUUGAAGGAUGGUAUAAAUUAAGUAUUGUAGCCGGCG
Saccoglossus kowalevskii is the source of this 422-nucleotide long non-coding RNA. The record is from RefSeq and is a predicted model, not a curated record. Lineage: Eukaryota; Metazoa; Hemichordata; Enteropneusta; Harrimaniidae.